RNAcentral lists this long non-coding RNA (649 nucleotides) under Homo sapiens (human). Its description in RNAcentral is "non-protein coding lnc-RGPD4-3:2". Lineage: Eukaryota; Metazoa; Chordata; Mammalia; Primates; Hominidae. The record is from RNAcentral.
GGGGACGGAUCAGAAUGGACUGGAGGGGAUUGGAUCUGCCUUGCAAAUCAUGAGGGAAUCCCAGGGAAAGAAAACACUCCUCGGACUGAUAGUGAGGGUGAGUAAAGGACACAAUCUCAGAUCAUGUGACCUACCCCACAUUCCUCAAAGAAGACAGGAAAUGAGACUGAAAAAGAUUUGCAUGACUUCCCUUAUUUGGCUUGGCAGUCAGAUUUAUUUAUUUAUUUAUGUAUUUAUGUAUUUAUUUAUCUUUGAAACAGAGCCUCUCUCUGUUGCCCAGGCCAGAGUGCAGUGAUGCAAUCUCAGCUCACUGCAACCUCCAGUUCUUGGGUUCAAGCAAUCUCCUGCCUCAGCUUCCCAAGGAUCUGGAAUUACAGACGGGGUCUUGCUAUGUUGCCCAGAAUGGAAUGCAGUGUCUCUUCACCGGCACCAUCCUGGCAUGCUAUAGCCUCAAACUCCUGGGCUCAAGCAUCAUCCUGCCUCAGCCUCCCAAUUAGCUGGGACUACAGGUGUGCAUCACUGUGCAGAGCUAAUAAUGUCCUUUCUGUAUGAAUUAUCGAGACUCAAGAAAGCACUUUGAUAGGGGAAGUGAAUACACUGGGGACAAUUAGUGGGUGGAUGUGUCUGAAGUGAGAGUAAGGCUCUCUUC